Molecule: ribosomal RNA, 549 nt
Filed under: Sulfitobacter sp. MS3
Lineage: Bacteria; Pseudomonadati; Pseudomonadota; Alphaproteobacteria; Rhodobacterales; Roseobacteraceae
Description: bacterial SSU rRNA
Rfam family: Bacterial small subunit ribosomal RNA
Source: RNAcentral
AACGAACGCUGGCGGCAGGCCUAACACAUGCAAGUCGAGCGCACCCUUCGGGGCGAGCGGCGGACGGGUUAGUAACGCGUGGGAAUGUACCCUUCUCUAUGGAAUAGCCUCGGGAAACUGAAAGUAAUACCAUAUACGCCCUUCGGGGGAAAGAUUUAUCGGAGAAGGAUCAGCCCGCGUAAGAUUAGAUAGUUGGUGGGGUAAUGGCCUACCAAGUCUACGAUCUUUAGCUGGUUUUAAAGGAUGAUCAGCAACACUGGGACUGAGACACGGCCCAGACUCCUACGGGAGGCAGCAGUGGGGAAUCUUAGACAAUGGGCGCAAGCCUGAUCUAGCCAUGCCGCGUGUGUGAUGAAGGCCUUAGGGUCGUAAAGCACUUUCGCCAGGGAUGAUAAUGACAGUACCUGGUAAAGAAACCCCGGCUAACUCCGUGCCAGCAGCCGCGGUAAUACGGAGGGGGUUAUCGUUGUUCGGAAUUACUGGGCGUAAAGCGCACCUAUGCGGGAUCAGAAAGUUGGGGGUGAAAUCCCAGGGGGCAACCCUGGAAAC